GAUGAAGAACGCAGCGAAAUGCGAUAAGUAAUGUGAAUUCCAGAAUUCAGUGAAUCAUCGAAUCUUUGAACGCACAUUGCGCCCGGUAGUAUUCUGCCGGGCAUGCCUGUUCGAGCGUCAUUUCAACCAUCAAGCCCCAGCGCUUGUGUUGGGGGCCUGCGGCUGCCGCAGCCCCCUAAAAGCAGUGGCGGGCUCGCUAUCACACCGAGUGCAGUAGUUCAUCUUCUCUCCGGUCUUGUGAGGCGGGUUCCGGCCGUGAAACACCCCACUACAUUCAAGGUUGACCUCGGAUCAGGUAGGAAUACCCGCUGAACUUAAGCAUAUCAAUAAGCGGAGGA
RNAcentral lists this unclassified non-coding RNA (338 nucleotides) under soil metagenome. RNAcentral's name for it is "partial contains 5.8S ribosomal RNA, internal transcribed spacer 2, and large subunit ribosomal RNA". The stretch from base 1 to 120 matches the Rfam family "5.8S ribosomal RNA", at positions 35 to 154 of the family's 154-position model. The record is from RNAcentral.